Molecule: ribosomal RNA, 462 nt
Filed under: Streptomycetaceae bacterium 'ARUP UnID 642'
Lineage: Bacteria; Bacillati; Actinomycetota; Actinomycetes; Kitasatosporales; Streptomycetaceae
Description: bacterial SSU rRNA
Rfam family: Bacterial small subunit ribosomal RNA
Source: RNAcentral
GGACGAACGCUGGCGGCGUGCUUAACACAUGCAAGUCGAACGAUGAAGCCCUUCGGGGUGGAUUAGUGGCGAACGGGUGAGUAACACGUGGGCAAUCUGCCCUUCACUCUGGGACAAGCCCUGGAAACGGGGUCUAAUACCGGAUAACACCCGCCACCGCAUGGUGGUGGGUUGAAAGCUCCGGCGGUGAAGGAUGAGCCCGCGGCCUAUCAGCUUGUUGGUGAGGUAGUGGCUCACCAAGGCGACGACGGGUAGCCGGCCUGAGAGGGCGACCGGCCACACUGGGACUGAGACACGGCCCAGACUCCUACGGGAGGCAGCAGUGGGGAAUAUUGCACAAUGGGCGAAAGCCUGAUGCAGCGACGCCGCGUGAGGGAUGACGGCCUUCGGGUUGUAAACCUCUUUCAGCAGGGAAGAAGCGAAAGUGACGGUACCUGCAGAAGAAGCGCCGGCUAACUACGU